RNAcentral lists this ribosomal RNA (892 nucleotides) under uncultured Bacteroidota bacterium. RNAcentral describes it as "bacterial SSU rRNA". It matches the Rfam family "Bacterial small subunit ribosomal RNA", at positions 28 to 916 of the family's 1533-position model. Lineage: Bacteria; Pseudomonadati; Bacteroidota. The record is from RNAcentral.
GAUGAACGCUAGCGGCAGGCUUAACACAUGCAAGUCGAGGGGCAGCGCGGGGCGGCAACGUCCUGGCGGCGACCGGCGGAAGGGUGCGUAACGCGUGAGCGACAUGCCCGUUGCCCGGGGACAACCGGUGGAAACGCCGACUAAUCCCCGAUGGGACGGAGGCCCUCAUGGGUCUCUGUUGAAAAUUACGGCGGCGACGGAUUGGCUCGCGUCCGAUUAGCUUGUUGGCGGGGUAACGGCCCACCAAGGCUACGAUCGGUAGGGGUUCUGAGAGGAAGGUCCCCCACAAUGGAACUGAGACACGGUCCAUACUCCUACGGGAGGCAGCAGUGAGGAAUAUUGGUCAAUGGGCGGAAGCCUGAACCAGCCAUGCCGCGUGCGGGAAGGAGGCCCUAUGGGCUGUGAACCGCUUUUGCCUGGGGGCAAUAAGGGCGUCGCGCACGUCCGAUGAGAGUACCAGGGGAAUAAGCAUCGGCUAACUCCGUGCCAGCAGCCGCGGUAAUACGGGGGAUGCGAGCGUUAUCCGGAUUCAUUGGGUUUAAAGGGUGCGUAGGCUGUGCGUCAAGUCAGGGGUGAAAUUCCGGGGCUCAACUCCGGGGCUGCCCUUGAUACUGUCGCGCUGGAGUGCGGAUGCCGCCGGAGGAAUGAGUGGUGUAGCGGUGAAAUGCUUAGAUAUCACUCAGAACACCGAUUGCGAAGGCAUCUGGCGAAUCCGUAACUGACGCUGAGGCACGAAAGCGUGGGGAUAGAACAGGAUUAGAUACCCUGGUAUUCCACGCCGUAAACGAUGAUGGCUAACCGCCGGCGACAUACUGUCGGUGGCCAAGCGAAAGCGAUAAGCCAUCCACCUGGGGAGUACGUCGGCAACGAUGCAACUCAAAGGAAUUGACGG